RNAcentral lists this long non-coding RNA (895 nucleotides) under Setaria viridis. RNAcentral describes it as "long non-coding RNA (SVIR_LNC001038)". The record is from RNAcentral. Lineage: Eukaryota; Viridiplantae; Streptophyta; Magnoliopsida; Poales; Poaceae.
AAAAGGUAUAUCUAACUGACAGUUUAUAUGUACUGCAUAUUCAUGAGCAAUAAAAAAGGUAUUGGAGAUCUCUCUCUAUAUAUAUAUAUGUGUGUGUGUGUGAAUAACUAUUUUCAUACAAAAGUUUUAUAUCAUAUAUAUUAAUCCUUUGCAUCUGUACCUUUUCUAUAAAGGGGUCAUGCCAAACUCUAUAGUCUCAUAAUGAUUAUUUUAUCUUCUAAAUCUCUAUGAGCUAACCAUAGUGUCAUUUAAUUGCACUUGAGAUAGUUGAGAUACUUUUUUGCUUACCAUUUGUGAGAUCAAAGUUUGAGAAGUAAAAUUUUUCUACUAGGGAGACAAGAACAAGACAUACAGAACAAGUAAUUAUCUGCUUGCCUCUUUAAUUCUUCUUUCUUUGCAUUGAAGACUAUUUCCAUCUCCUUCUUUUUGUCCGCACAUUGGCUUCUUCUCCUUCUAAUCUUCUCGUCCUCUUUAUCCCUAAUAUGCUUUUCAAUUCUCGUCCUUCUUUUCGGUAGCCAAGUUUGGUUUUUAUUUUUCUUUCUACUUUUCGCUUUCGUUGGUGUGAAACCCGAUAAACCUCUCUACCUCCUCUAUUGACGGGCCACUUUAUUGCCUCCAUCUGUAUUUCUACCUCCUCCUCCCUCUGCUGUCUUCAUUGCUUCUCCACUUUCACAUCUCUACAUCUGACACUUUUGCUGUUGGUACAAGCUGGAGAACUCGAGGAGAAACUGCAGAGGCCGGAGAACUCGAGGUUUGUAUGUUGACCUAAACAUUCAUUUUAUUUUGACAACUCUGCAGACUCAGUUUCUUCAUUGGAUCAUCUUAUUUCUUUUGAUUCUUGCCAUGACCUGUACAAUUUUUCAGGUCCUUUUCUUAUUGACUUCCAUGUUUAUUC